Molecule: non-coding RNA, 24 nt
Filed under: Cricetulus griseus (Chinese hamster)
Lineage: Eukaryota; Metazoa; Chordata; Mammalia; Rodentia; Cricetidae
Source: RNAcentral
AUUAGAACUCUAAACUUAGACUGU